This 68-nucleotide transfer RNA is filed under the name Marmota monax (woodchuck). It matches the Rfam family "tRNA". Rfam says of the family: Transfer RNA (tRNA) molecules are approximately 80 nucleotides in length. The record is from Rfam by way of RNAcentral. Lineage: Eukaryota; Metazoa; Chordata; Mammalia; Rodentia; Sciuridae.
GGGGCUGAAGCUCAGUGGCAGAGUGCUUGCCUAGCAUGCAUGAGGCACUGGUUUGAUCCUCAGCACCA